AACGAACGCUGGCGGCAUGCCUAACACAUGCAAGUCGAACGAGACCACCGGGUCUAGUGGCGCACGGGUGCGUAACGCGUGGGAACCUGCCCUUAGGUUCGGAAUAACUCCCCGAAAGGGGUGCUAAUACCGGAUAAUGUCUGCGGACCAAAGAUAUGUCGCCUUUGGAUGGGCCCGCGUUGGAUUAGCUAGUUGGUAGGGUAAAAGCCUACCAAGGCGACGAUCCAUAGCUGGUCUGAGAGAAAGAGCAGCCACACUGGGACUGAGCCACGGCCCAGAAUCCUACGGGAAGCAGCAGUGGGGAAUAUUGGACAAUGGGCGAAGGCCUGAUCCAGCAAUGCCGCGUGAGUGAUGAAGGCGUUAGAGUUGUAAAGCUCUUUUACCCGGGAUGAUAAUGACAGUACCGGGAGAAUAAGCUCCGGCUAACUCCGUG
RNAcentral lists this ribosomal RNA (433 nucleotides) under uncultured bacterium. Its description in RNAcentral is "partial 16S ribosomal RNA". It matches the Rfam family "Bacterial small subunit ribosomal RNA", at positions 29 to 507 of the family's 1533-position model. The record is from RNAcentral.